Molecule: ribosomal RNA, 468 nt
Filed under: uncultured bacterium
Lineage: Bacteria
Description: partial 16S ribosomal RNA
Rfam family: Bacterial small subunit ribosomal RNA
Source: RNAcentral
GACGAACGCUGGCGGCGUGCUUAACACAUGCAAGUCGAACGGAAAGGCCCUGCUUUUGUGGGGUGCUCGAGUGGCGAACGGGUGAGUAACACGUGAGUAACCUGCCCUUGACUUUGGGAUAACUUCAGGAAACUGGGGCUAAUACCGGAUAGGAGCUCCUGCUGCAUGGUGGGGGUUGGAAAGUUUCGGCGGUUGGGGAUGGACUCGCGGCUUUUCAGCUUGUUGGUGGGGUAGUGGCUUACCAAGGCUUUGACGGGUAGCCGGCCUGAGAGGGUGACCGGCCACAUUGGGACUGAGAUACGGCCCAGACUCCUACGGGAGGCAGCAGUGGGGAAUAUUGCACAAUGGGCGGAAGCCUGAUGCAGCAACGCCGCGUGCGGGAUGACGGCCUUCGGGUUGUAAACCGCUUUCGCCUGUGACGAAACGUGAGUGACGGUAAUGGGUAAAGAAGCACCGGCUAACUACGUG